AAAUGCUGCAGUAGUAGGGAUC
This 22-nucleotide microRNA is filed under the name human gammaherpesvirus 4 (Epstein-Barr virus). RNAcentral's name for it is "Human gammaherpesvirus 4 (Epstein-Barr virus) miR-BART14-3p". The record is from RNAcentral. Lineage: Duplodnaviria; Heunggongvirae; Peploviricota; Herviviricetes; Herpesvirales; Orthoherpesviridae.